GAGGAAGGUGGGGAUGACGUCAAGUCCUCAUGGCCUUUAUGUCCAGGGCUACACACGUGCUACAAUGGCCGGUACAAACCGCUGCAAACCCGCGAGGGUGAGCCAAUCGGAGAAAGCCGGCCUCAGUUCGGAUUGUAGUCUGCAACUCGACUACAUGAAGCUGGAAUCGCUAGUAAUCGCGGAUCAGCAUGCCGCGGUGAAUACGUUCCCGGGCCUUGUACACACCGCCCGUCACAUCACGAAAGUGGGUCGUACUAGAAGCGGGUGAGCUAACCUUCGGGAAGCAGCCCUCCAAGGUGUGAUUCAUGAUUGGGGUGAAGUCGUAACAAGGUAGCCGUAA
RNAcentral lists this ribosomal RNA (340 nucleotides) under uncultured bacterium. RNAcentral's name for it is "bacterial SSU rRNA". It matches the Rfam family "Bacterial small subunit ribosomal RNA", at positions 1166 to 1505 of the family's 1533-position model. The record is from RNAcentral.